UACAGAGGGUGCUAGCGUUGUUCGGAAUUACUGGGCGUAAAGGGCGUGUAGGCGGUUGCGUAAGUCAGAUGUUAAAGACCUGGGCUUAACCUAGGGGCUGCGUUUGAUACUGCGUGACUAGAGGGCAGGAGGGGAGAGUGGAAUUUCCGGUGUAGAGGUUAAAUUCGUAGAUAUCGGAAGGAACACCAGUGGCGAAGGCGACUCUCUGGACUGUUACUGACGCUGAGGCGCGAAAGCGUGGGGAGCAAACAGG
Molecule: ribosomal RNA, 253 nt
Filed under: uncultured bacterium
Lineage: Bacteria
Description: partial 16S ribosomal RNA
Rfam family: Bacterial small subunit ribosomal RNA
Source: RNAcentral